CCCUUAGAUGUUCUGGGCCGCACGCGCGCUACACUGAAUGGAUCAACGUGUUUUCCCUUCCCGAGAGGGACGGGUAACCCGCUGAACCCCAUUCGUGGUAGGGAUCGGAGCUUGCAAUUGUUCUCCGUGAACCAGGAAUUCCCAGUAAGCGCAAGUCAUAAGCUUGCGUUGAUUACGUCCCUGCCCUUUGUACACACCGCCCGUCGCUACUACCGAUUGAAUGGUCCGGUGAAGCCUCCGGAUUGGCGCGCACCUCGGUGCCGCCGAGAAGUUGGCUAAACCUUACCAUUUAGAGGAAGGUGAAGUCGUAACA
RNAcentral lists this ribosomal RNA (313 nucleotides) under uncultured eukaryote. Its description in RNAcentral is "partial 18S ribosomal RNA". It matches the Rfam family "Eukaryotic small subunit ribosomal RNA", at positions 1470 to 1796 of the family's 1831-position model. The record is from RNAcentral.